RNAcentral lists this ribosomal RNA (171 nucleotides) under uncultured bacterium. RNAcentral describes it as "partial 16S ribosomal RNA". It matches the Rfam family "Bacterial small subunit ribosomal RNA", at positions 338 to 524 of the family's 1533-position model. The record is from RNAcentral.
CCUACGGGAGGCAGCAGCAAGGAAUUUUCGUCAAUGGGGGCAACCCUGAACGAGCAACGCCGCGUGGGCGAAGAAGUCCUUCGGGAUGUAAAGCCCUUUUCCCUCUGGAGAGUGAAAGACGGUAGGAGGGGAAUAAGCAUCGGCUAACUACGUGCCAGCAGCCGCGGUAAU